Molecule: long non-coding RNA, 488 nt
Organism: Fukomys damarensis (Damara mole-rat)
Lineage: Eukaryota; Metazoa; Chordata; Mammalia; Rodentia; Bathyergidae
Exons: 3
Source: RefSeq, a predicted model, not a curated record
GCCCGGGUGUUGUGCUGCCUCAGCUGUUGGAAAAGCAAGGAGAGGUCUUGGAGAUCCUCAUUUCCGUCACAGCGGCUGAAGGAAGAGGCCAGGGGAGGCCAGGAGGAAAGCGGCCUUGGGGUACGGAUGUGCAGAAUUGGCAAGUCCACGGACACAGGAAUGGAUCGUGCGCCUCCUGUUGAUCUGUUGCCAUGAGGUGGUUCCUAUUCUCAAACAGAAUCUGAUACAAUGAGUCAGCAGCAGACCGGGCCAAAGUGCUCACCGUUACCUCACGAAACCUUCUGCACAAACGGGGCAGGGCUAUUCAUCUUUGGCCUGUGGUCCAUUCACGCCGGGGAGUACGAUACAGCCACGAAAAGGAACGGGCUCUGACAAUGGCCACAACACCGAUGGACCCUGAGGCUGGGGGGCUCCGUGGGAGAAGGCAACAGGAGGACGCAGAACGUGUGGCUCCCCUGGUGUGAGAUGCAGGUACAGGUGCAGCCAGA